RNAcentral lists this ribosomal RNA (325 nucleotides) under uncultured eukaryote. RNAcentral's name for it is "partial 18S ribosomal RNA". It matches the Rfam family "Eukaryotic small subunit ribosomal RNA", at positions 1470 to 1796 of the family's 1831-position model. The record is from RNAcentral.
CCCUUAGAUGUUCUGGGCCGCACGCGUGCUACACUGACUGGUGCAACAAGUGUCGCUCCUUGGCCGAUAGGCCUGGGCAAUCUUUGAACGCCAGUCGUGAUGGGGAUAGAUUCUUGCAAUUUUUGAUCUUCAACGAGGAAUUCCUAGUAAACGCGAGUCAUCAACUCGCAUUGAUUACGUCCCUGCCCUUUGUACACACCGCCCGUCGCACCUACCGAUUGAAUGGUCCGGUGAACCCUCCGGAUCGGCCCGCGCCAACGCAAGUUGAGCAAAGGCCGAGAAGUUGGGUAAACCUUACCAUUUAGAGGAAGGUGAAGUCGUAACA